This 253-nucleotide ribosomal RNA is filed under the name uncultured bacterium. Its description in RNAcentral is "partial 16S ribosomal RNA". It matches the Rfam family "Bacterial small subunit ribosomal RNA", at positions 524 to 776 of the family's 1533-position model. The record is from RNAcentral.
UACGUAGGGCGCAAGCGUUAUCCGGAAUUAUUGGGCGUAAAGAGCUCGUAGGCGGUCUGUCGCGUCUGCUGUGAAAACUCAGGGCUUAACCCUGAGCUUGCAGUGGGUACGGGCAGACUAGAGUGCGGUAGGGGAGACUGGAAUUCCUGGUGUAGCGGUGAAAUGCGCAGAUAUCAGGAGGAACACCGGUGGCGAAGGCGGGUCUCUGGGCCGUAACGGACGCUGAGGAGCGAAAGCAUGGGGAGCGAACAGG